GACGAACCGCCGGCGGCGUGCCUAAUACAUGCAAGUAGAACGCUGAAGAGAGGAGCUUGCUCUUCUUGGCAGAGUUGCGAACGGGUGAGUAACGCGUAGGUAACCUGCCUUGUAGCGGGGGAUAACUAUGGAAACGAUAGCUAAUACCGCAUAACAAUGGGUGACCCAUGUCAUUCAUUUAAAAGGGGCAACUGCUCCACUACAAGAUGGACCUGCGUUGUAUUAGCUAGUAGGUGAGGUAACGGCUCACCUAGGCGACGAUACAUAGCCGACCUGAGAGGGUGAUCGGCCACACUGGGACUGAGACACGGCCCAGACUCCUACGGGAGGCAGCAGUAGGGAAUCUUCGGCAAUGGGGGCAACCCUGACCGAGCAACGCCGCGUGAGUGAAGAAGGUUUUCGGAUCGUAAAGCUCUGUUGUAAGUCAAGAACGAGUGUGAGAGUGGAAAGUUCACACUGUGACGGUAGCUUACCAGAAAGGGACGGCUAACUACGUGCCAGCAGCCGCGGUAAUACGUAGGUCCCGAGCGUUGUCCGGAUUUAUUGGGCGUAAAGCGAGCGCAGGCGGUUUGAUAAGUCUGAAGUUAAAGGCUGUGGCUCAACCAUAGUUCGCUUUGGAAACUGUCAAACUUGAGUGCAGAAGGGGAGAGUGGAAUUCCAUGUGUAGCGGUGAAAUGCGUAGAUAUAUGGAGGAACACCGGUGGCGAAAGCGGCUCUCUGGUCUGUAACUGACGCUGAGGCUCGAAAGCGUGGGGAGCGAACAGG
Molecule: ribosomal RNA, 765 nt
Filed under: uncultured Streptococcus sp.
Lineage: Bacteria; Bacillati; Bacillota; Bacilli; Lactobacillales; Streptococcaceae
Description: bacterial SSU rRNA
Rfam family: Bacterial small subunit ribosomal RNA
Source: RNAcentral